Molecule: ribosomal RNA, 370 nt
Filed under: uncultured eukaryote
Lineage: Eukaryota
Description: partial 18S ribosomal RNA
Rfam family: Eukaryotic small subunit ribosomal RNA
Source: RNAcentral
CAAUAGCGUAUAUUAAAGUUGUUGCAGUUAAAAAGCUCGUAGUUGGACCUUGGACCUGGACAGGCGGUCCGCCUCACGGCGUGUACUGUCUUGCUGGGUCUUUCCUCUUGGUGAUCUGUUGUUUCGGCAGCAGGGAACCAGGACUUUUACUUUGAAAAAAUUAGAGUGUUCAAAGCAGGCUCGGCGCCGGAAUAUAUUAGCAUGGAAUAAUAAAAUAGGACGUGCGGUUCUAUUUUGUUGGUUUUUGGAAUCGCCGUAAUGAUUAAUAGGGACAGUCGGGGGCAUUAGUACUCACAUGCUAGAGGUGAAAUUCUUGGAUUUUGUGAAGACUAACUUCUGCGAAAGCAUUUGCCAAGGAUGUUUUCAUUAA